This 262-nucleotide ribosomal RNA is filed under the name uncultured Stenotrophomonas sp. RNAcentral describes it as "partial 16S ribosomal RNA". It matches the Rfam family "Bacterial small subunit ribosomal RNA", at positions 91 to 354 of the family's 1533-position model. The record is from RNAcentral. Lineage: Bacteria; Pseudomonadati; Pseudomonadota; Gammaproteobacteria; Lysobacterales; Lysobacteraceae.
CGGAGUGGCGGACGGGUGAGGAAUACAUCGGAAUCUACUCUGUCGUGGGGGAUAACGUAGGGAAACUUACGCUAAUACCGCAUACGACCUACGGGUGAAAGCAGGGGAUCUUCGGACCUUGCGCGAUUGAAUGAGCCGAUGUCGGAUUAGCUAGUUGGCGGGGUAAAGGCCCACCAAGGCGACGAUCCGUAGCUGGUCUGAGAGGAUGAUCAGCCACACUGGAACUGAGACACGGUCCAGACUCCUACGGGAGGCAGCAGGU